Molecule: ribosomal RNA, 520 nt
Filed under: uncultured bacterium
Lineage: Bacteria
Description: bacterial SSU rRNA
Rfam family: Bacterial small subunit ribosomal RNA
Source: RNAcentral
AGGGUUCGAUUCUGGCUCAGGAUGAACGCUAGCGACAGGCUUAACACAUGCAAGGUCGAGGGGCAGCAAUAAAAGUAGCAAUACUUGGUGGCGACCGGCGCACGGGUGAGUAACGCGUAUGCAACCUACCUAUCAGGAGGGGAAUAACCCGGCGAAAGUCGGACUAAUACCGCAUAAAACAGGGGCACCGCAUGGUGAUAUUUGUUAAAGAAAUUCGCUGAUAGAUGGGCAUGCGUUCCAUUAGGUAGUUGGUGAGGUAACGGCUCACCAAGCCGACGAUGGAUAGGGGAACUGAGAGGUUGGUCCCCCACACUGGUACUGAGACACGGACCAGACUCCUACGGGAGGCAGCAGUGAGGAAUAUUGGUCAAUGGGCGGGAGCCUGAACCAGCCAAGUCGCGUGAAGGAAGAAGGAUCUAUGGUUCGUAAACUUCUUUUGCAGGGGAAUAAAGUGCAGGACGUGUCCUGUUUUGUAUGUACCCUGAGAAUAAGGAUCGGCUAACUCCGUGCCAGCCGCCGC